ACUAGGAUGCUAUAUGCGUAUAAGUUUCGGCCUUAUAUUUGAGGUAAACUCUCUUAGUU
This 59-nucleotide transfer RNA is filed under the name Helix pomatia (Roman snail). RNAcentral describes it as "tRNA-Arg". Lineage: Eukaryota; Metazoa; Mollusca; Gastropoda; Stylommatophora; Helicidae. The record is from RNAcentral.